UGCCUAACACAUGCAAGUCGAACGGAGCUGCUUUGAUGAGAUCUUCGGAUGGAUUUAAAACAGCUUAGUGGCGGACGGGUGAGUAACGCGUGGGUAACCUGCCUCACACUGGGGGAUAACAGUUAGAAAUAGCUGCUAAUACCGCAUAAGCGCACGGUUCCGCAUGGAACAGUGUGAAAAACUCCGGUGGUGUGAGAUGGACCCGCGUCUGGUUAGCCAGUUGGCGGGGUAACGGCCCACCAAAGCGACGAUCAGUAGCCGGCCUGAGAGGGUGAACGGCCACAUUGGGACUGAGACACGGCCCAAACUCCUACGGGAGGCAGCAGUGGGGAAUAUUGCACAAUGGGGGAAACCCUGAUGCAGCGACGCCGCGUGAGUGAAGAAGUAUUUCGGUAUGUAAAGCUCUAUCAGCAGGGAAGAAAGUGACGGUACCUGAAUAAGAAGCCCCGGCUAACUACGUGCCAGCAGCCGCGGUAAUACCUAGGGGGCAAGCGUUAUCCGGAUUUACUGGGUGUAAAGGGAGCGUAGACGGCAAGGCAAGUCUGAAGUGAAAGCCCGGUGCUUAACGCCGGGACUGCUUUGGAAACUGUUUAGCUGGAGUGCCGGAGAGGUAAGCGGAAUUCCUAGUGUAGCGGUGAAAUGCGUAG
This 647-nucleotide ribosomal RNA is filed under the name uncultured bacterium. RNAcentral describes it as "bacterial SSU rRNA". It matches the Rfam family "Bacterial small subunit ribosomal RNA", at positions 45 to 693 of the family's 1533-position model. The record is from RNAcentral.